Molecule: long non-coding RNA, 1285 nt
Organism: Galeopterus variegatus (Sunda flying lemur)
Lineage: Eukaryota; Metazoa; Chordata; Mammalia; Dermoptera; Cynocephalidae
Exons: 2
Source: RefSeq, a predicted model, not a curated record
AGGAGGGGGCUACUACUCAGCUCCAGCUGAUUCUUGCCAUGCGGAAAUAGAGGGUCAGAUGAUCUUCAAGAGGUGUAAAAUCCCAGUGAAAUUAUUAGGAGAUAUCUGGCUACAGAAAUGACUUUGGGAUCAGUUUCUCCAGCGACUUUUUAAUGGAACACUGAAGAGUGACUUUGAGAUCAAGUUGACUUGCUCUUGGUGACCAGAUCUGAUGUAUCCAAAGGUUUCCCAGCUUUAAGGGCCACCAAUUCUCCUGCAUGCUUCACCCCAGCUGAACUCCUGAAUCCCUCUGUGUGUCUGAGGAUGUUUGGGGAGUCUGGAAUCGAUGAUCCAGCAGUGUGUUUCAGGAACAUCACAUCCGGAAUGAAUCACCCUUCACUCCCUUUAACAGAUCAGUCUUCAGGGGAAGCUGAUUGCUCCCCUAUCCAUAUCAUACUUUGAUUCAUUUACACUUAAGUGAUGAAAGUGGUCUUUUCCUUCUCUUUCUUUAAAUGGAUACUAACCCAGGAGGGGCUUGGGGAGUUGUAAAGGGGAGUGCUGACUCCUUGGAUACACUCUUGGUUGCAUUCUCAAAUGGCCCACUCAAUUAGGGGUAAUAUUUCAUUGACUUGUGUGUCUGAUGGCUCCCUAGCCAGCAGUGUUUUCUAAAUGGUCCUGAGGCAAGACUUUGGGCUUUGAAAACAGCCCUUUAUCACCUUUAUGUCUGGGGCUGCAUUGGCACAGCCCAGAUUGAAGCAGUUAUCUCCAUCGGGGAAGCAGCCACAGUCUCUGGCUGGAAUGUCUUGGCUUGGCUGGCUUCACUUGUCAAGAGAAUGGGUAUUCUGACACUAUCUAGGGCUGAUUUCAUGCAGCUGCAUUAUCUAUAUGUUGAAUCUGACCAUUCAGGUACUUGUCUGUAUUUUCUAUAACAGAAAGAAAUGGUUGGAUUAACAAAAAAAUCAGGGUCUUUAUAUCUUUUCCUGUGUCUGCACAGGAAGUGUGGAUGUGUUCAAAUAAUCAUCUAAUUUCUCCAGAAGACUUCAUGUCAAUGCAUGUUCCAAAUUGACCUUAGCUUUAAGUGUGAAGCAAGCAGUUACUCUGCAUGGUAUUUACAUCAAUACUCCAACUUUUGUUAGAGAAAUUUAAUUCAAUGGUUGUGUGUGUGUGUGUGUGUGUGUGUGUGUGUUUGUGUGCUCUAGUCUCUAGGUGUGGACAACAGUGGAAAUUUUCCUAGUGACUGGAAGAAUACACAAUGUAGAUGACCUUCUACUCUAUCUAAUUAUAAAACUGAUAUGAUCUGAAUCUA